UUUUCAUUGAGCCCCAGAAGUAGGAGGCACAAGAGUCCAGGCUACACGGGCUGUUUUCCCAGAGGUAGCAGUGUCUAUGGUGGCUUGUACUGGAUACUGAGCGCCAUUUGAUAAUAUGAAAAUGAUAAGGGUUUUUGUGAUUGCAGCGGUCAGCCAGUCAGAAAGAAAAGUCUUGUAGUUUAGACUGAUUCUUUCCUGACCAAUGAGGAGAGAACAGAGGGAGAGUUUUCCAGUCAUCCACAGAAAUGGGUGGGGCUAAAGUCCAGUCUUCCUGGUGAGGAACCAGAGAGACUUUUUCCCUGUCUGUGAGGAAGACUGACAAGGGGGGGGAGUUUGUGUGUGGGGGGGGGGGGGUGCGGGGGGGAGCACUAGGUUAGUCUGCAAAAAAAAAAAGUUCAAGAAUUUCUGCUAUUUUCAGUAGGAAUUUGGGAGAUGGGUAGGGAAGCAAGUGAAUAUUGGGGAAUGUGAGAUUACUUUCAACUCUGCAAGUGUAUAGGAGCGCUAGACUCCUAGCUGUGCAGGCCCAGUUAUUGACCAGUGUCCCUUGGGCUUAUACUGAAGUCACUGUGCAAUUGUAGCACUGUAGGAGUAUAGGAAGAAUGAUUCUUUUUUUUCUUUUCUUUUCUGUUUUCUUCUUUUCUUGAUGGGGUGAUAGGCAGGUCCUAUAGUUCCUUGUGGCAAGUAUAAUACUGAUUCUGGUAAGGAGCUAGAGCUGAGGUCUUUGUGUCUGGUGGGAGACCUUCAGGAGGAAAAGCUUUCCAUUCAUCCCCAGAUAGAGGGGACACUAGAAUCCUGCCUAUGCAGGUCCUUUGCCCUCGGGAAGCAGUGACUGGUGACUUGGGCUUUCUGAAUGCCCAAGGCCAGCGGGUAAUCUGAAGAUGGUGAAGCUUCCUGUGCCUUCUGGGGGAGGCCAUUCCGAAAGAGAAGUGUGGAAGUUUAGCUUAGUUCUUUCCUGACCAAAGAAGCGGGAGCAGAGAGAGGGGAAUCCUAAAGAAGAAAAACCGUUUUUCCAGUCCUCCACGGAAACGGAUACAGACGGUACCAGCCCCACCUUCUCUAGCAGUCACUUCUAGGAAUCAAGUUGAGAGAGUCCUGUGCAGUUUCUUGGAUUCCAUCUUGUUGCCUGAAAUAAGCUUUUAAGAUCUCUUCAUUCACAU
This 1157-nucleotide long non-coding RNA is filed under the name Mus spicilegus (steppe mouse). Its description in RNAcentral is "lncRNA (ENSMSIG00000022184.1)". Lineage: Eukaryota; Metazoa; Chordata; Mammalia; Rodentia; Muridae. The record is from RNAcentral.